RNAcentral lists this ribosomal RNA (429 nucleotides) under Bacillota bacterium. RNAcentral describes it as "Firmicutes bacterium partial 16S ribosomal RNA". It matches the Rfam family "Bacterial small subunit ribosomal RNA", at positions 355 to 776 of the family's 1533-position model. The record is from RNAcentral. Lineage: Bacteria; Bacillati; Bacillota.
UGGGGAAUUUUGGACAAUGGGGGCAACCCUGAUCCAGCAAUGCCGCGUGUGUGAAGAAGGCCUUCGGGUUGUAAAGCACUUUUGUCCGGGAAGAAAUCGCACCUGAUAAUACCGGGUGUGGAUGACGGUACCGGAAGAAUAAGGACCGGCUAACUACGUGCCAGCAGCCGCGGUAAUACGUAGGGUCCAAGCGUUAAUCGGAAUUACUGGGCGUAAAGCGUGCGCAGGCGGUUGUGCAAGACCGAUGUGAAAUCCCCGGGCUUAACCUGGGAAUUGCAUUGGUGACUGCACGGCUAGAGUGUGUCAGAGGGGGGUAGAAUUCCACGUGUAGCAGUGAAAUGCGUAGAGAUGUGGAGGAAUACCGAUGGCUAAGGCAGCCCCCUGGGAUAACACUGACGCUCAUGCACGAAAGCGUGGGGAGCAAACAGG